This 75-nucleotide transfer RNA is filed under the name Terriglobia bacterium. Its description in RNAcentral is "tRNA-Ile". It matches the Rfam family "tRNA". From Rfam's summary of the family: Transfer RNA (tRNA) molecules are approximately 80 nucleotides in length. Their secondary structure includes four short double-helical elements and three loops (D, anti-codon, and T loops). The record is from RNAcentral. Lineage: Bacteria; Pseudomonadati; Acidobacteriota; Terriglobia.
AGCCGCCAUGCUCUCCGGUUGGGCGCGACCCUGAUAAGGUCGAAGCACCUGGUUCGAUUCCAGGGGCGGCUACCA